ACACAUACAAAAACCUUCAAGAAAAACUACACAACCAUGACUCUUAUUACCUAGCUCCCCCAUCACACUCAUGAAUCAAAAUCCACCAUCUGACAACUGCAACCCCACUAAGAUCACACGACCUCUGCCAACACAGGACCACCACGAUUCCCUUGAUGCGAAGUUGCAUUCUCCAUUUGUUGCCAUUCAAACACUCGCAGAGUCGCAGAAACCAUAGAAGUACUCCCAACGCUGUGAGCUUUAAUUUGAACCGAUUACAUCUGAAUUCUGAAACUGAUCUGGUUGGAAGAAUUAAGUGAUCUUUUGAGGGUAGAAAACUGCUAGCGGGCGAACCCAAAAUCUUGAGUUUAGGACGUUCACUACUGAUCCAGAUGGAAGUGAGCCACUGGAAGAGGCGCUGGAAGAAGAAAAUUUGGAAGACGCGAGCCUCGUAGAUGUGAAAGUCAAGGCCGAGCCUUAGCGCGCUCGUUGGUUUAGUUUUAUAUUAUUUUAAUCUGGAUAGUGGACGUUCGGUUAUUUGGUUUUGUAAAACCGUUCGUCCUUGACGCUUCUUAUUUCUGUUGUUUUGUAUCUUAGUUCUGUAUGUUAAGCCGUUCGGCUUUUGAACCCUGUUUAGUGUAAA
Vigna angularis (adzuki bean) is the source of this 622-nucleotide long non-coding RNA. RefSeq lists it as uncharacterized. The transcript has 4 exons. The record is from RefSeq and is a predicted model, not a curated record. NCBI's taxonomy places the organism in Eukaryota, Viridiplantae, Streptophyta, Magnoliopsida, Fabales, Fabaceae.